ACACCUACGGGGGGCAGCAGUGAGGAAUAUUGGUCAAUGGCCGUAAGGCUGAACCAGCCAAGUAGCGUGAGGGAAGACUGCCCUAUGGGUUGUAAACCUCUUUUAUGCGGGGAUAAAGGUGUCCACGUGUGGAUGUUUGCAGGUACCGCAUGAAUAAGGACCGGCUAAUUCCGUGCCAGCAGCCGCGGUAAUACGGAAGGUCCGGGCGUUAUCCGGAUUUAUUAGGUUUAAAGGGAGCGUAGGCCGGUCUUUAAGCGCGCCGUGAAAUUUUGUGGCUCAAAUAUGAGAGUGAGGGGAG
Molecule: ribosomal RNA, 298 nt
Filed under: uncultured bacterium
Lineage: Bacteria
Description: partial 16S ribosomal RNA
Rfam family: Bacterial small subunit ribosomal RNA
Source: RNAcentral